AUUGUCUUCAACUACCCCAAAAAAAUCUCCUGGAAACUACUCUCUGAAAGAAGUUGGAGAAAAAUUAUUAAUGCACUUGAAGAAGAUCAAGAAAAAAGAAAGCGUGAGUAAUGUUUUGGCUCCAUUAUAGUUUUAUGAGAGCACCAUCACAUAUGCGGUUCGUUGCUGACCAAAACAUUGCCUCAUGCUGGAGAAGAGUAUCCGAGCAUAGUUGCUGCUUCGAGUCACUCCAGGGAGAUCUAAAAUUCCAGGUGUGACCUCACAAGGCAACUUGCAUUCUUAACUCUGUCUCAGCCCCUGAGAACCCUGAGCUUGUUGGAUAACCCAACCUGCAAAACACAGCUCACAGAUUUCUGAGAAGCCUGAAGAUUCAGGAUCAGGACCAUAGUAAGAUAUGAGUGUCUAGGUAGCAUGACAACAGCCAGAACCACUUCUCAACAAUUGUGUGAUGUGUACACAGCUGCUGCAGUCCUGGACACUCAUCACUGCCACCCAUGACUCUGGAAUUGGGUAUUGCUGUGGACAACAAUACUACUUUGUUCUGGGAAAGAAUGCCCCUUCAUCCUUGCUUCUUUGAGUCACUCAAUGGAGAUUCAAGGUCUUCCGCAUCACCUUGGUGUUCUCACUUGCGGUGUGCCCACUGCACGAGCUUUCUGCUAUUCUACUGCACAUUCACAGCUCACUUGGAAGAAACUUUAGUAAGAUUCUUGGAAUCUUUCUCACAGCAGGAAGAGUCCUAAGAGACCGAGCUACUCCUUUUACAAUAAUUGAGACACAGACCGCUGGCAAAUGAAAUUUGCCCCAAAUUUGGAAGACCAUCUCAUAGGCAUGACAACAAAAGACUCAUGUGUUUGUUUUAACUUGGUGUGGUUUUUUUUAAUUAUGGGGGUAGUUUUAUUUAUUUUCAAAUAUGUAGUAGCUACUUGCAUUACUUUUUAAUAAACCACAUGUUCAUGGUCUAUGUUUAUUUUUCUAUGAGAAGAUCUAUUUUCCUUAUUGUGUUUUAAAAAUUCUUUCAAUAUAUUAUAGAAUAUCUCUAUUCCCACCAUAUGUGUUUAUACAUUUUAAAAAUUUCUGUUUUCUUACUGUAUGCAUGAUUUUCCCUGUAAAACUUUUUAUUUGCUUGUAGUUAAUGAUAUUAAUUUACUUCAGAAAAUCAUUCACGUGUAAAUAUUCUACAAAACUUGUCUCAUGUUUACUUUGAAUACUUUUAUAGUUCGAUCUUUAUGUUUAAAUCCUUGACCACCUAAAACGUACUUUGAAAUAAUGGGUGGAGUGGAAAUCCAGUAUUUACUCCUUGAAUUGCCGGUAAUCAGUCUAAACAUCAUUCGCUGAAUUACUAACAUUUCUUAAGUGAUGUGGAAUUCUGCCCUUAUCAUUUGUAAAAUUCUCAAAGGCAUUGAGUUUAUCUUUUAUUCCAUUGAGAUGUGUGCAUUUUCUCACCAUUAAUGUAUGUUCUAAUUAUGUUGACAUAUUUUUGUGAUAAUUUUGGUGGAAUUAAAAUGUGUCAUGGGUAACUCUCCCAUGACAAUUUAUCAUCAAUAUUUUCCUGGAAAACCUCAAAUGCUUACUUUAUCAGUUGGUAUGUUCAAUUUCAUUAAUCAUUGGAUUUUUAUCUCAUGGGCUUCCAACUUACUCUUCAUUGUUUAUCACUAAAACCCACUAAAAUCUCCAUUUUUUUUUUUUUUUUUUUGAGACAGGAUCUCGCUCUGUCGCCAGGCUGGAGUGCAGUGGCGCAAUCUUGGCUCACUGCAACCUCUGCCUCCUGGGUUCAAGUGAUUCUUCUGCGUCAGCCUCCUGAGUAGCUGGGACUACAGUUGCAUGCCACCAUGCCCAGCUAAUUUUUGUAUUUUUAAUAGAGACAGGGUUUCACCAUGUUAGCCAGGAUGGUUUUGAUCUCUUGACCUCGUGAUCCGCCUGCCUUGGCCUCCCAAAGUGCUGGGAUUCCAGGCGUGAGCCACCACGCCCGGUCUCCAUAGUUUUUAAGAGCGCCGUUAGGCUGGAUAUUCCUUAUACUCUGUUCCUAAUACUGUCAGUUCCUUAGGGAGGACUUUGGAGCUCUCUAUUCUUAUAGCCUGCCUCUCACUUUUGGAAAAUCACUGAGUUCCUUCUAAGGAGCUGUUUUGGAAAGAGUGGUUCACUUUUCUCAGAGUGACAGCCCUGCUUUACCAACUGGGCUCUGACCAUGAGCCAGAACAUCCUCUGAUGUUGUUGGCAGGCAUUCACUGGCAUGAAAAUUCUGCCUGGCAAAUGAGCUGUGCCGAGGGCUAUGGGGGUCUCAGCAUUCUUGACCUACAAUGCCUGGGAUAGAACCUCUCCACUACAAGUAGUGUUGGGUGGAAGAAUGGAGCUCUGUACCUCUUCAUCACACUCACCUGGAAUCUCUGCAAUACAACCUUGGAAUGGGUUUGAGAGAUGCUGGCAACCUUUUGCCUCUGGUGAGAUAUCAUAACCCUUUAAAGGGAAGUGAGAGGAAAGAGACUCUCCCAUUACUUGGCUAGAUGUGCCCUGAGUGAAGCUUCCCUCAUAUUGAGCUAGGAUAUAGAAAGUAUAGAGUGGGUUAUGACUCAAAUGCUGUAGACACUCUGUGUUCUUUCAAGGUUUAGUAGAGUUUUAAAAAUAAAUGUAUGCACUUAAGACAAUUCCCAAAGACUUCAAGUGGCUGUUUUAAAAAAUAACUUUUAUCAAGUAUGAUUGUUUGGUUUGAGGGUAUUUCCAUGGAUCUCCUUACACUGCUAUUCCAGAGGAGAAGCCACCAGGUCACUCAACUCUUAGUAUCAUCUACUGGAAACUGGCUAAGACAGUAUUUAUGUGCUUCUCUCACAAUAACAGGAAGAUAACUAUAUCACACAAUGGAUAUGGCAGUUGGCUUGACUGCAGUAAUCAUUUAACUAUGUAUAUGUAUAUCAAAACAUCAUGUUGCAUACCUUAAAUAUGUACAAUAAAAAUAAAAUCUAAAAGAAAUAAAAUAAAAAUAACUUUC
Molecule: long non-coding RNA, 2983 nt
Filed under: Homo sapiens (human)
Lineage: Eukaryota; Metazoa; Chordata; Mammalia; Primates; Hominidae
Description: HSALNT0401252
Source: RNAcentral